This 203-nucleotide long non-coding RNA is filed under the name Nicotiana benthamiana. Its description in RNAcentral is "long non-coding RNA (NBEN_LNC012268)". The record is from RNAcentral. Lineage: Eukaryota; Viridiplantae; Streptophyta; Magnoliopsida; Solanales; Solanaceae.
UGAAAAAUUACAUCAAAAUAUAUGUGCUAAUUUUGAGUUUGCGUAAGCACCGAGCAUAGAGUCAAUUAGUUAAAAAAAAGAUGAUGACCAUCCUCAAAAUUAAGGAGAUAUAAUCAAAGGGUUUACACGCAACAUCUAGGGGUGUGUUUGGUACGAAGGAAAACAUUUUCCGGAAAAUGUUUUCUAAUUUUCCCAUGUUUGGU